GUAGGGAAUUUUCGUCAAUGGGCGCAAGCCUGAACGAGCAAUGCCGCGUGAGCGAGGAAGGUCUUCGGAUCGUAAAGCUCUGUUACGGGGGAAAAAGGAAGAGAAGAGGGAAUGCUUUUCUUUUGAUGGUACCCCGCCAGAAAGUCACGGCUAACUACGUGCCAGCAGCCGCGGUAAUACGUAGGUGGCAAGCGUUAUCCGGAAUGAUUGGGCGUAAAGGGUGCGCAGGCUGCGCGUCAAGUCUGAAGUGAAAGGUACCGGCUUAACCGGUACAGGCUUUGGAAACUGGCACGCUAGAGGACAGGAGAGGGCGGUGGAACUCCAUGUGUAGCGGUAAAAUGCGUAGAUAUAUGGAAGAACACCAGUUGCGAAGGCGACCGCCUGGACUGUACCUGACGCUCAUGCACGAAAGCGUGGGGAGCAAAUAGGA
This 430-nucleotide ribosomal RNA is filed under the name uncultured bacterium. RNAcentral's name for it is "bacterial SSU rRNA". It matches the Rfam family "Bacterial small subunit ribosomal RNA", at positions 354 to 777 of the family's 1533-position model. The record is from RNAcentral.